Hordeum vulgare subsp. vulgare (domesticated barley) is the source of this 456-nucleotide long non-coding RNA. RefSeq lists it as uncharacterized. NCBI's taxonomy places the organism in Eukaryota, Viridiplantae, Streptophyta, Magnoliopsida, Poales, Poaceae. The transcript has 2 exons. The record is from RefSeq and is a predicted model, not a curated record.
AAGCAUGUUGUUUUGCUUGUAUUGCCGCAGGUGGCUCCGACAUAAUAUGCAAGAACACUUGUUGUUUCCCUGUAUUCUUGCCGAUUCGGUUGUUGCUAAGAUGGAAGAAAUGGGAGCCAAUGUCGCGAUGGGAGGAGUAGAAUAAAAUGAUAUGCGUGCACUGCUACUAGUAUGGAUGCCAUUCACAUGCAUAUGAUGCAUUGCUUCAAGCUAUGGUCAAGUUAUGUUAAUGUUUACCUACAAUAAAUUGUUGAAUGUUUGGGGACAACUCUGGUUGAACCAUGUGUUUGUCUGAAUUACAUAUAUGUUAUGCAUUUGUGCAUGUGUGUCAGCUCACAAGCCUAUUUAUUUGCUCUUGCUGCUUGUAAUAAGGCCAUAGAGAGUUUCCACAAUGAUAUGUAGCGUGCACGUAUGUUAUAAUACAUUUAUAUAUUGUCUGCGCCCUUGCCAAUUUUA